Molecule: ribosomal RNA, 324 nt
Filed under: uncultured bacterium
Lineage: Bacteria
Description: bacterial SSU rRNA
Rfam family: Bacterial small subunit ribosomal RNA
Source: RNAcentral
AUUGAACGCUGGCGGCAUGCCUUACACAUGCAAGUCGAACGGCAGCGGACCUUCGGGUGCCGGCGAGUGGCGAACGGGUGAGUAAUAUAUCGGAACGUACCUUUCAGUGGGGGAGUAACGUAGCGAAAGUUACGCUAAUACCGCAUAUUCUGUGAGCAGGAAAGCAGGGGAUCGCAGGACCUUGCGCUGAUUGAGCGGCCGAUAUCAGAUUAGCUAGUUGGUGAGGUAAAGGCUCACCAAGGCGACGAUCUGUAGCGGGUCUGAGAGGAUGAUCCGCCACACUGGAACUGAGACACGGUCCAGACUCCUACGGGAGGCAGCAGU